Long non-coding RNA from Zalophus californianus (California sea lion), 1989 nucleotides. RefSeq lists it as uncharacterized. The transcript is spliced from 3 exons. Lineage: Eukaryota; Metazoa; Chordata; Mammalia; Carnivora; Otariidae. The record is from RefSeq and is a predicted model, not a curated record.
UAAAAAAUUAGCUUUGGCUCAUACAUUUGUAACACAGUAGUUAAUGUUACAAGAUAAGCAGUAUAGGGGAAAUGUAUCUGAGGGGAAAAUCAAGUGCUGGAAGCUCAAGAGACACUUAUAAGGUCACAGAACAAAGCUGUGCCUACUAUGUGUCAGGCACUGUUUUAGGUGCUUAGGAUACAGAAGCAAAGGACACAAAUCUCUGCUUUCAUGAAGCUCAUAGACAAUAUGAGAAAAAAAAGAAGGAGGAGGGGGAAGAAGAAGCAGAAGAGGAAGAAGAAGACAGUCAAUUCUGUGUUAGGAUCCUGUGUCUAGAAGAAGAGGGAAGCAUUUCCCUAAAAGGAGAGAGGUGCUGCUCUCAAUAGAAAUAAUUUGCCUAUUGUUCAAUUUAAUCUUUUAGAAAAAUAUCUUAUUCUCUUAGUACUACUCCCAAUAGCAGGUUGCGAUUUCCUGAUGUAGUGUGUUUCACUAUAAGGCCACAUAGUACAGCAGAAAGAGCACUACGCUGAAUGCCGGGAAAAUGGAUUCUCCUAGCUUUAACAUGAAUCAGCUCUGUCCUUGGACUAGUUCUUAAACUUCUCUGGAUUUCAGUUUCUUUGUCUCAGAACGGUGUCAUCUCCAUGAGGGCAGGAACCAAGUCUGUCCAAGAUGGAGAUUUACACUUGGUAACAACCUCUGGGGCUUGGGUUGGAUAGAAGAAGAAGCCGAACUGUGAUAUGGUUGCAACAAAGACUUCGGAUAGUCAUGGGGAGCCCUAGACUGAGGAUGAUCUUUCAGAGUUGUCACAAAUUUCACCAAGUUGACCUACUUUAUAUCCCCAUUAUAGACUAGAUGUGCACUGUCCAUAAGAAGGGACCUUAAACUUGGGUGAAGCAGUUUCCUGAGCCUCAGCAACCCCUGGAGGAUUCAGCUGAGAACUGAUGGCAGCCAAUAGCCCCAGCUGCUGGAAGAGUGUGUGCCUUGGUCCUGAAAGAGGAUAGCCGAGCAGUACACUGUGACAUCUACUAUAUAUAAUCAGUAUAUUCAUAGCACCAAUAGGUACAGUGCUUGGCACAGGGUAGGUGCUUAUUAAUUAUUUGUCAAAUGAAUAAACUAUGUGAAAAAGAAGGUGUGGAGAGGUGCCUGGUGGCUCAGUCAGUUGGAUGUCCAACUCUUGGUUACAGCUCAGGUCAUGAUCUUAUGGGUUGUGGGAUUGGCCCAUGUCAGGCUCCGUCCUCGGUGGGGAGUCUGCUUGAAGAUUCUCUCCCUCUGACCCUCCCCCUACUCAUGCGCACACUCUCUCUCUCUCAAAUAAAUAAAUAAAUCUUUUUUUUUUUUUAAGGAAGGUGUGGAUUAGAUAAUCCCUCUUGACAGUAUUGCAUACAUCUAUUUGUCUCCCGGAGGAUGUGUGGAAAGGGUGAUUAAUCAAAAUACUCACAGUUUUUGUUAUUGUUCUUUUUAAAUAAAGGAGUAGGAAUAGAACUAGGAGAAGAAUGUUUACUAAAAUUAAUGUUGACUGACCUGUUUGGCUAGAGAGCAUAAAGCAUUCUUUGUGAUUAACAGUAGAAAACAUUAAGGAAGCAAUUACUAUAGAUAUUCCAUAGAGUCACACUGUGCUGUCCAAUACAAUAGCCACUAGCCACAGGAGGCUAUUUCAUUUAAAUGAAAUAAAAUAAAAAAUUUCAAUUAAAAUGAAAUAAAAUAAAAAAUUCAUUUCCUCAAUCACACUACUCACAUAUCAAGUGCUCAGUAGCCAUAUGUGGCUACUAGCUAUCACAUUAAACAUGCCGAAUAUUUCCAUCAUCACAGGGAGUUCUAGUGAACAGUACUGGUCUACACUGAGUAGUUGUGUUCUUUACUUCCAUUCAAUAAAAAUCUAAUUUACUCUCAUGAAUUCUGCUGCUCAUUUCAGUGAGAUGGCUGAAACUGGAGCCAAAACUUUGAAGGGCUUGGGGGAAAAGGAUUGCCCUGUAUCCACAUUUUUUCUUAGAAAUCCAAGUAGUGGGGCGC